GCCGUGGUAGCUUAGUGGUUAAAGCACUUGGACACAAACCAAGAGGUUGGUGGUUUGAACCCACCAGGCA
This 70-nucleotide transfer RNA is filed under the name Loxodonta africana (African savanna elephant). It matches the Rfam family "tRNA". Rfam says of the family: Transfer RNA (tRNA) molecules are approximately 80 nucleotides in length. The record is from Rfam by way of RNAcentral. Lineage: Eukaryota; Metazoa; Chordata; Mammalia; Proboscidea; Elephantidae.